This 230-nucleotide ribosomal RNA is filed under the name uncultured bacterium. RNAcentral describes it as "partial 16S ribosomal RNA". It matches the Rfam family "Bacterial small subunit ribosomal RNA", at positions 1270 to 1500 of the family's 1533-position model. The record is from RNAcentral.
AAUCCCUAAAAGCCAUCCCAGUUCGGAUCGCAGGCUGCAACCCGCCUGCGUGAAGUUGGAAUCGCUAGUAAUCGCGGAUCAGCAUGCCGCGGUGAAUACGUUCCCGGGCCUUGUACACACCGCCCGUCACACCAUGAGAGUCGGGAACACCCGAAGUCCGUAGCCUAACCGCAAGGGGGGCGCGGCCGAAGUUGGGUUCGAUAAUUGGGGUGAAGUCGUAACAAGGUACC